This 368-nucleotide unclassified non-coding RNA is filed under the name Hevea brasiliensis (rubber tree). Lineage: Eukaryota; Viridiplantae; Streptophyta; Magnoliopsida; Malpighiales; Euphorbiaceae. The record is from RNAcentral.
ACCUUCCGUCAGUUGCAGCCAAAAGGAUCUAUCUGACCUGUUCAAAGCCUGGUUAACAAAACCGUCCACAAUCUUAACAGCAUCCUCAACUAAACCGUCUUUCACAAGAAUAGGUAGAAGAGCAUAUACAGUUACACAGUCAGGAUACAUUUUCUUCUUCAUCUGAUGGAAUAGCAAAAAUGCUUCGGUUACCCUUUUUUCUUUGGCCAACCCAAAUAUUACAGUGUUAUAACUGAAAACAUCCGGAAAGCAAUUUGGUCCUGUCAUUUGAUAAAGCAAUGUCAAGGCCGUGUCAACCUCACCAUUCUUGCAAAGACUAUCUAAAAGAGUAUUGUAAGUGAUUGUGUUUGGAGCACAUCCGUGAAGAG